Molecule: RNA transcript, 1518 nt
Organism: Brassica oleracea var. oleracea
Lineage: Eukaryota; Viridiplantae; Streptophyta; Magnoliopsida; Brassicales; Brassicaceae
Exons: 9
Source: RefSeq, a predicted model, not a curated record
UAAUAUUCUAUUAUCAAUUUAGGUCCGAUAGAUAUUAGGGUUUUUGAUCCAAAGAAAAAGAUAUUACGGUUUCCUAAUCUUCGUUAACACAGUAGCUUCACUCAAUCAUCGUGACUCUUGGGAUCUUGAAUCCUCCGACUAUCGCCCCUGUGACGUCUUAACGUCUCGGCUAGGAGAUACAUUUAUCCAAGCAUUAACGACAUCUCUACCAUUCCUCCCACUCUUCCUCAUUGGCCUUAUCAUCCACCAAAGUAAACGUUCAAAGCACCGACUAUAUAUAAAUGUGUUCAAAGACGUAUUUAAGCACGUCGUCGGCACAUAGCCGUCGUUUUCUUCUCUCUCCCCGACUUAAUCUUUGUUCUCACCGACAAAAGAUCGGUGGAAUCUCCUCUCUGUUGUUACUGUAGCUCGAUCCCAGGAAUCCUAAAUAUGACUAUCUGCUCAAGCUUUUGCUCAUUGGUUAUUCUGGUGUUGAUAAAUCUGCUUGCGUCUAAGGUUUUCUCUACAUCAGCACCAUUGGUGUUGACUUCAAAAUCCACACUGUCGAACAAGAUGGAAAAACUAUCAAACUCCAGAUUUGGGCCACAACAGGUCAAGAGCGUUUCAGAACGAUCACCAGCAUUUACUACAGAGGAGCUCAUCCGUGAUUAUGGUGUUGGCAAAUCAUGGUUGCUUCUAAGGUUUGCUGUAAGUUAUUGCACAUCUCUCUCUUUCUCUCUACUGGGACACUAUUACAUGUUCACCUAGAUAUUCGCACUGAUGGACACUGCAACGAAAUCCCAAACGUAUUUUCCCUAUUAAGCAACAACUCUAUCCUCUCUACGCUCAACUUCAGAAAAUAAUCAACAGCUGCAAACUGCCCCGGACCGCCACCCCUUCACUUUCGUGCUGAAACGUAAUGACCAUUCUCAUUCAGGACCACACAUCGACUGAACACCUUUCAAAUUCUCUAAGAAGGAGCCGUGUAUGAGCUCAGUGUUUCGAUGUGACAAAGGAUUAAUCAAAACUUCAGACUCUCAGACUCACCAGUUUCUAUCAGAUUCACCGAUAAAACUUAUUUUUAGAUUCAAAAACCAUCAACCCUAUUCCUACCGAGAUCUCCAGGUUCUGCACCUAUGACCAGCUGAUGUUACUGGGAUUGUUAGGUACUGUGUGCAGCUAUCAGUCUCAGAUGUCUUAGAGUCUACCGUGUUUGUCGCAUUCGAUGGUGAAAUGACGAAGCCGAUUAACGUCCAUGCUGCAGAGUAAUCAAAGCCUAGGUACAGCAGCAUGCUUACUUCAUCGACGAUUGCUUCAUAAGAAAAAGGCCCGACAAAGACAAGACGACCAAAAGACCACUCAUUAACAUUGGUAGAACGCGACAUAGACCAACGAUGAAGUUAAUGUUGCUGGAGAUUGCUGCAAAGCAAAUGAAUGAUUAGAAAGAUAAGCACACAUGAAAAGCUACCAAAUAUUGCAAGCAUUUUUUACAUGCGAUGAAAUAAAAGAUAAUAAUAUGGCCUUGGUUGUUUGAGUGUU